Long non-coding RNA from Dalotia coriaria, 423 nucleotides. RefSeq lists it as uncharacterized. The transcript has 2 exons. Lineage: Eukaryota; Metazoa; Arthropoda; Insecta; Coleoptera; Staphylinidae. The record is from RefSeq and is a predicted model, not a curated record.
CAAUGCUCGCUAUGUCGCCCCCGCCCCCGACCGGACGACGGUCGACCGUCUUGGACGACAUGGAUGACUUGGAUUCGUUGCAUUCGACCAGCCGAUUACUGCAAAAAAAUGUCGUAAACUCCCUAGAUUUAAAUGACAAUCCAUGUGAUUCUUCCAUGCUUGCUAAUUGGAAUUGGAAAUGGAAAUGCUAAUUUAUUUUAGACCAAAGUUUGGGAACAUGAAGCUGUAUGAAUAUUACUUGUGUUUUAAAACAGGAUAAAAUUAAAUUCGUCACUUUAUUAAACAAUAGGGAUACAGUUGUUAUAAGUUAAAUUCAUAACCAGCGUAAAAAAAUAUGGUUGAGUUAUUCGGCUGAGUUUAAAAAAGAUAAAGUUAAACUUAUCAUCAAUGCCAUGAAACAGAAUAAAAUUAAUUUGUCACCAA